GGGGUGAGUGACUGCGGAUGUCAUUACAGAGCGUGAAGACCUCGGCCCCUCCCGCGGCGCAAGUCGAGGUUGAGGGGAACAUGCCGGGGUCGACCCUCCCACCCGUGUCGAUUUAUUCUCCUGUUGCUUUGGCAGGCCGGGGCGCCUUGGCGCUCCGCCGGCCCCGUGUGGGCUGGAGCGUGCCUGCCAGAGAAAAUGUUAUCAACUCGUGUGAUUGGUGAAGUCUGAGGAAUCAUGUGAGAAAUUAGUUAAAACUUUCAACAACGGAUCUCUUGGCUCUGGCAUCGAUGAAGAACGCAGCGAAAUGCGAUAAGUAAUGUGAAUUGCAGAAUCUAGUGAAUCAUCGAAUCUUUGAACGCACAUUGCGCCCCUUGGUAUUCCGAGGGGCAUGCCUGUUCGAGCGUCAGAACAACCCCUCAGGCCGCUCAGGCUUGGUCUUGGGGCUCGCCCGCCUUGGCGCGGCGGCCCUUAAACACAGUGGCGGUGCCGGUGGUGCUCUCCGCGUAGUCACGUUCUCGCGACAGGGCGGCACCGGACCCAGCCAAAACCCGACGCCGGCAAGGCGUCAACCCCCCUCUCUAGGUUGACCUCGAAUCAGGUAGGGAUACCCGCUGAACUUAAGCAUAUCAAUAAGCGGAGGAAAAGAAACCAACCGGGAUUACCCUAGUAACGGCGAGUGAAGCGGUAACAGCUCAAAUUUGAAAUCUGGCUUCCCUGCGGAGUCCGAGUUGUAAUUUGUAGAAGAUGCUUUGGGUGCUCGGCCCGGUCUAAGUUCCUUGGAACAGGACGUCGUAGAGGGUGAGAAUCCCGUAUGCGGCCGGGGUGGGUGCUCGUGUAAAGCUCUUUCGACGAGUCGAGUUGUUUGGGAAUGCAGCUCAAAAUGGGUGGUAAAUUUCAUCUAAAGCUAAAUAUGGGCCAGAGACCGAUAGCGCACAAGUAGAGUGAUCGAAAGAUGAAAAGCACUUUGGAAAGAGAGUUAAACAGUACGUGAAAUUGUUGAAAGGGAAGCGCUUGCACAGACUUGGCGUCGCUGAUCAUCCAAAGUUUUCUUGUGCACUCGACGACGUACAGCAGCAUCGUUGGGGUGGUGGGAGAACGUUGUAGACGUAGCUCUCUUCGGGAGUGUUAUAGCUGCCACGCAUACCGCUACCUGACGAGGACCGGCUUCGCUAGGAUGCUGGG
RNAcentral lists this ribosomal RNA (1182 nucleotides) under Phyllactinia sp. EML-PHYL1. Its description in RNAcentral is "eukaryotic LSU rRNA". The stretch from base 585 to 1182 matches the Rfam family "Eukaryotic large subunit ribosomal RNA", at positions 1 to 630 of the family's 3401-position model. Lineage: Eukaryota; Fungi; Ascomycota; Leotiomycetes; Helotiales; Erysiphaceae. The record is from RNAcentral.